UCUCUACUGCUAUAAAUACUACUGCCCUUCCCAUAACUCAUAGCCCUUCAUACUCAGAUAUUUCAGAAGAUCUAGCUACCAAGCUGCUUCAUCGUCUUCUUCUUCCUCUUCUGCUGGUGGCUUAGGAGUUUAAAUAGUGUGGAAGAAUCUGUUAAGCUCAGGAGGGAUAGCGCCAUUCUCGGUUUGGUUUAACCACGUAUCGCGCUAUCCAUCUUGGGCUUCAUGGCUUCUUCUUACUCUCUCUUGCAGUACAACUUUGGCAUAAAGAACACUUCAAUUUUUCAUCGCCAAAAGAAACAUCUGGUAAACAAAAAUGUGUUGCAAGCGAAACAUAUCUGCUUGAAAGCUGAAACAUCUGCAGACUCAGUGUUUGACUUUGAGUCAAAUGAAGGGAUCUUGAAUGUUUGCCAAGAUUUCAAAGAGACGGACUAGCGGCCCUUACAUCUGAACGAAGGGAUCAUUUCAAGAUUUUACAGAGACGGACCAAUGACACCUAUAUCUGAAUGAGGGGAUGUAGGCCAUUUUCAUGUUCAAUUUAUCUGUUCCGUUUACAUCUGAAUUUGAUGUUUUUCUUUUAUUAUUUAGCAAUUUGAAGCUAAAUAUUUGCUUAAUUAAGCUUAACUUGUAAAAACCCCCCAAUGCCAAGGAACAAUAUAAAUAUGUAUGUCCUUGAUAUACGAUAAUGAUUUUCCUUUGAUUA
Long non-coding RNA from Malus domestica (apple), 700 nucleotides. RefSeq lists it as uncharacterized. The record is from RefSeq and is a predicted model, not a curated record. Lineage: Eukaryota; Viridiplantae; Streptophyta; Magnoliopsida; Rosales; Rosaceae.